UGGCUCCGCCGCCCGCGGCGGCAAUUCGCCUCGGGUUUGCCAUUUUCGGUCGAAUUCGAGCAAACUUGCAUCGGUCCCUGCGAUAAAACAAACCUAGGGCCCUCAAUGGGCCAAAAAAUCAUGAAAACUGAAACUUACAUGCGGCAGUGCUCUCGGGUGCGGUGGCUCCUCCGGCGUGAGUCACAUUUUGAUGUUUGGCUCUGAUCAACCUGUAGAGAAAAGAACGGUGAUCACAGUGGUAUAAAAUUUGCAUCGAACGGAGGCUGGAAAGGGCCUCAUCGGAGGUAAAAAUAGAAAGGAGUCGCGGCGGCACCGCCGGACUUCAGCUGGGUUUUUCGGGCGUUUGGCUGUUGGUUUCGCUCCGGUUUAGUCAUAGGCAGA
This 381-nucleotide long non-coding RNA is filed under the name Carica papaya (papaya). RNAcentral describes it as "long non-coding RNA (CPAP_LNC005672)". The record is from RNAcentral. Lineage: Eukaryota; Viridiplantae; Streptophyta; Magnoliopsida; Brassicales; Caricaceae.